RNAcentral lists this ribosomal RNA (253 nucleotides) under uncultured bacterium. RNAcentral's name for it is "partial 16S ribosomal RNA". It matches the Rfam family "Bacterial small subunit ribosomal RNA", at positions 524 to 776 of the family's 1533-position model. The record is from RNAcentral.
UACGUAGGGUGCGAGCGUUAAUCGGAAUUACUGGGCGUAAAGCGUGCGCAGGCGGUUUUGUAAGCCAGAUGUGAAAUCCCCGGGCUUAACCUGGGAAUGGCAUUUGGGACUGCAAGGCUGGAGUGCGGCAGAGGAGACUGGAAUUCCUGGUGUAGCAGUGAAAUGCGUAGAUAUUCGGAGGAACACCAGAAGCGAAGGCGGCCAACUGGCCCGAUACUGACGCUGAGGCGCGAAAGCGUGGGGAGCAAACAGG